This 593-nucleotide ribosomal RNA is filed under the name uncultured bacterium. RNAcentral describes it as "bacterial SSU rRNA". It matches the Rfam family "Bacterial small subunit ribosomal RNA", at positions 253 to 842 of the family's 1533-position model. The record is from RNAcentral.
CGGGGUAACGGCCCACCGAGGCGACGAUGCGUAGGGGUUCUGAGAGGAAGGUCCCCCACACUGGUACUGAGACACGGACCAGACUCCUACGGGAGGCAGCAGUGAGGAAUAUUGGUCAAUGGGCGCGAGCCUGAACCAGCCAAGUCGCGUGAGGGAUGACGGUCCUACGGAUUGUAAACCUCUUUUGCCGGGGAGCAAGCGUGCGUUCGUGAACGCGCGUCGAGAGUACCCGGAGAAAAAGCAUCGGCUAACUCCGUGCCAGCAGCCGCGGUAAUACGGAGGAUGCGAGCGUUAUCCGGAUUUAUUGGGUUUAAAGGGUGCGUAGGCGGGAUGCCAAGUCAGCGGUAAAAAUGCGGUGCUCAACGCCGUCGAGCCGUUGAAACUGGCGUUCUUGAGUGGGCGAGAAGUAUGCGGAAUGCGUGGUGUAGCGGUGAAAUGCAUAGAUAUCACGCAGAACUCCGAUUGCGAAGGCAGCAUACCGGCGCCCUACUGACGCUGAGGCACGAAAGCGUGGGUAUCGAACAGGAUUAGAUACCCUGGUAGUCCACGCAGUAAACGAUGAAUGCUAACUGUCCGGCUCGAAUGAGCGCUGG